Cornus florida is the source of this 1132-nucleotide long non-coding RNA. RefSeq lists it as uncharacterized. NCBI's taxonomy places the organism in Eukaryota, Viridiplantae, Streptophyta, Magnoliopsida, Cornales, Cornaceae. The transcript has 5 exons. The record is from RefSeq and is a predicted model, not a curated record.
UCGUUGCUCUCUCUCUCUCUCUCUCUCUCGCUGUGGAGUUGGUGGAAGAUCUGGGGAUUUUAGUGACGCAUACUGCUUGAAUUUCUGGUCAAUGUCAGUCAUUUUUCUACAUGUGAGGAGCCCAUUUGCAAACCCUAGGUGGGCUUUCAAGCUAGUAAUUUUAUGUUUUUAUUUUCACUUCUACAGAACAUAUAAAGUUCAAGAUCAACUGGAUUUCUCUCUUUGUUUUCAGGAUCGACAAAAUUUAUUCAAAUUCCUACCAUGAACAAUUUAGGUGAUUCAAGCAGAAGAUAAACAUGGCAAGAUUAAGCCAUGAAUUCUAGACGGAUUUCUUUCGAUCGAUGCAAACGAGCCAACUCUUGAGGUACAUAGCCAUCGAAAUUGUUGUGACUGAUGUCGAGUGACGCGAGGAAUGAGAGAUUUCCAAGAUGUGGAGCGAUGGUGCCUUGGAGACCCAUACGUGAGAGAUUCAAGGCCGUGACUCUCUGGUGCCUAAGACCACAUGAGACACCAACCCAACUGCAAACUGAGCUAGUGGUGGACCAAUUACUAGCCAAUACAUCUUCAGGGUUGUGAGUGAUAUGGUCUUUGAACACACGAAGAGCAAAUUGAUCGGUGGUCAAGUUUGUGAUGGAGCUAGACAAGCAAACGAUGAAAAAGCUUACUAGCAAUGAGAUGGAAAAAAGGAAGCAACUGGUAUUGUCCAUGGCAUUCAUAUGUGUAAAUUACUAUUAAUGGACUUGUAUUUAGAUGGAUUAGUUUAGCGGGACUUAUAUAAGAUAGGGAAAUCAAGCAUUGUAUGGAAUCACGAAACAACGUUGGAAACUUAACUAAUCUUCUGAAGACUAGAAUGGCAUGCAUUUCACUAGUACAUACUCGGUUACACACUCACUUUCUUGUACACACUGUUUCUCCUAAACGAAGAGAUUAGUUUUCAUACUACUUUUUGCACCGCCGAUAUUAUUUGCCGAUAUAUAAUUUAAAUCUAAACUUUUCAUAUUUGAAAAGAAGAAAUAUUAAUAAUUUCUAGUUCUGCUUUAUGCUAGUAAAAAUUUCCCAUUUAGUGAAAAAAACAAUACAAGUUUCCCGGGACACAAAUCAGGAAUUUUCAUUGGUUGAACAAUUUUUUUUU